This is a long non-coding RNA of Ornithodoros turicata, 290 nucleotides long. RefSeq lists it as uncharacterized. The record is from RefSeq and is a predicted model, not a curated record. The transcript has 3 exons. NCBI's taxonomy places the organism in Eukaryota, Metazoa, Arthropoda, Arachnida, Ixodida, Argasidae.
GACUGCGCUUCGCAGCUGCACUUGCUGUGGAGCAUGUGUGUACGAUGGUUUGAUGCGGCUCGCAACCACGUUGGCGUGUCACUUGCAUAUGUGUAGCCAUCCCCAUUGCUGGAAGUCAGUCUCCAUGACCUAGCUUUUGCGCUUCGCCUUUAGUUGGAAAGAGUGUUCUACCCUGGCAGGUUUCUUCGUGGCAGCCGUACUGCUGGAGCGUCAACAUCACUACUCCGCACACGUCACCAGGCAGAAGAGGUGACAAAACAUCACCAUUCACAAGUACUUCAUCCGCUACC